CAGUAGCCACGGUAAUACGUAGGUGGCAAGCGUUGUCCGGAAUUAUUGGGCGUAAAGGGCUCGCAGGCGGUUUCUUAAGUCUGAUGUGAGAGCCCCCGGCUCAACCGGGGAGGGUCAUUGGAAACUGGGAAACUUGAGUGCAGAAGAGGAGAGUGGAAUUCCACGUGUAGCGGUGAAAUGCGUAGAGAUGUGGAGGAACACCAGUGGCGAAGGCGACUCUCUGGUCUGUAACUGACGCUGAGGAGCGAAAGCGUGGGGAGCGAACAGGAUUAGAUACCCCUGUAGUCCCUGUCUCUUAUAC
Molecule: ribosomal RNA, 301 nt
Filed under: uncultured bacterium
Lineage: Bacteria
Description: partial 16S ribosomal RNA
Rfam family: Bacterial small subunit ribosomal RNA
Source: RNAcentral